RNAcentral lists this ribosomal RNA (481 nucleotides) under uncultured bacterium. RNAcentral's name for it is "bacterial SSU rRNA". It matches the Rfam family "Bacterial small subunit ribosomal RNA", at positions 899 to 1397 of the family's 1533-position model. The record is from RNAcentral.
ACUCAAAUGAAUUGACGGGGGCCCGCACAAGCAGCGGAGCGUGUGGUUUAAUUCGAUGCUACGCGAAAAACCUUACCAAGAUUUGACAUGUUUAUGACAGCUCUGGAAACAGAGUCUCCCUUCGGGGCAUUUUCACAGGUGCUGCAUGGCUGUCGUCAGCUCGUGCCGUGAGGUGUUUGGUUAAGUCCUGCAACGAGCGCAACCCUUAUUGCUAGUUGAAUUAUCUAGCGAGACUGCCUCGUAAAACGAGGAGGAAGGUGGGGAUGACGUCAAGUCAGCAUGGCCCUUAUAUCUUGGGCUACACACACGCUACAAUGGGUAGUACAAUUGGUUGCAAUGGAGCGAUCCGGAGCUAAUCCGUAAAACUACCCCCAGUUCAGAUUACAGGCUGAAACUCGCCUGUAUGAAGUCGGAGUUGCUAGUAACCGUAGGUCAGCAUACUACGGUGAAUACGUUCUCGGGCCUUGUACACACCGCCCGU